RNAcentral lists this transfer RNA (69 nucleotides) under Carlia beccarii. RNAcentral's name for it is "tRNA-Trp". It matches the Rfam family "tRNA". Rfam says of the family: Transfer RNA (tRNA) molecules are approximately 80 nucleotides in length. Their secondary structure includes four short double-helical elements and three loops (D, anti-codon, and T loops). Lineage: Eukaryota; Metazoa; Chordata; Lepidosauria; Squamata; Scincidae. The record is from RNAcentral.
GAAAUUUAGGUUAAUCAAAACCAGGAGCCUUCAAAGCUCCAAACAAAAGUUAAACUCUUUUAAUUUCUG